Molecule: ribosomal RNA, 253 nt
Filed under: uncultured bacterium
Lineage: Bacteria
Description: partial 16S ribosomal RNA
Rfam family: Bacterial small subunit ribosomal RNA
Source: RNAcentral
UACGAAGGGGGCUAGCGUUGCUCGGAAUUACUGGGCGUAAAGCGCACGUAGGCGGUCUUUUAAGUCGGGGGUGAAAUCCUGGAGCUCAACUCCAGAACUGCCUUCGAUACUGGAAGACUCGAGUCCGGGAGAGGUGAGUGGAACUGCGAGUGUAGAGGUGAAAUGCGUAGAUAUGACUCGGAAGGCCAACGGCGAAGGCAGGUUACUGGUACGCAACUGACGCUGAGGCACGAAAGCGUGGGGAGCAAACAGG